RNAcentral lists this ribosomal RNA (1090 nucleotides) under Corynebacterium pseudotuberculosis. RNAcentral's name for it is "bacterial LSU rRNA". It matches the Rfam family "Bacterial large subunit ribosomal RNA", at positions 1827 to 2925 of the family's 2925-position model. Lineage: Bacteria; Bacillati; Actinomycetota; Actinomycetes; Mycobacteriales; Corynebacteriaceae. The record is from RNAcentral.
AAACGUGGAAGUUGAUGUAUACGGACUGACGCCUGCCCGGUGCUGGAAGGUUAAGAGGACCUGUUAGAUCUCUUUGGGGGUCGAAGCGGAGAAUUUAAGCCCCAGUAAACGGCGGUGGUAACUAUAACCAUCCUAAGGUAGCGAAAUUCCUUGUCGGGUAAGUUCCGACCUGCACGAAUGGCGUAACGACUUCCCUGCUGUCUCAACCACAGGCCCGGUGAAAUUGCAGUACGAGUAAAGAUGCUCGUUACGCGCGGCAGGACGAAAAGACCCCGGGACCUUCACUAUAGCUUGGUAUUGGUGUUUGGUUCGGUUUGUGUAGGAUAGGUGGGAGACUGUGAUACUGCGCCGCUAGGUGUGGUGGAGUCGCAAGUUGAAAUACCACUCUGAUCGGAUUGAGCACCUUAACCUUGGCCCAUGAUCUGGGUUGGGGACAGUGCCUGGUGGGUAGUUUAACUGGGGCGGUUGCCUCCUAAAAUGUAACGGAGGCGCCCAAAGGUUCCCUCAGCCUGGUUGGCAAUCAGGUGGUGAGUGUAAGUGCACAAGGGAGCUUGACUGUGAGACUGACAGGUCGAGCAGGGACGAAAGUCGGGACUAGUGAUCCGGCACCUACUUGUGGAAGUGGUGUCGCUCAACGGAUAAAAGGUACCCCGGGGAUAACAGGCUGAUCUUCCCCAAGAGUCCAUAUCGACGGGAUGGUUUGGCACCUCGAUGUCGGCUCGUCGCAUCCUGGGGCUGGAGUAGGUCCCAAGGGUUGGGCUGUUCGCCCAUUAAAGCGGCACGCGAGCUGGGUUUAGAACGUCGUGAGACAGUUCGGUCUCUAUCCGCCGUGCGCGUUGAAACUUGAAGAAGGCUGUCCCUAGUACGAGAGGACCGGGACGGACGUACCUCUAGUGUGCCAGUUGUCACGCCAGUGGCAGGGCUGGUUGGCUACGUACGGAAGGGAUAACCGCUGAAAGCAUCUAAGCGGGAAGCCUGUUUUAAGAUGAGGUUUCUUUUGAGGUUCCCUCGAGACGAGGGGGUUGAUAGGCCAGAUCUGGAAGAGUGGUAACACUUGGAGGUGACUGGUACUAAUUUACCGAUAAACAAC